GCCCGCUCAGAAACUACAAAGGAAGUUGACGGGGGCCCGCGACAAGCGGUGGAGUAUGUGGUUUAAUUCGAUGCAACGCGAAGAACCUUACCUGGUCUUGACAUCCCGGAGACCCUUAGGAAACUAGGGGGUGCUUCCAUCUGGAAGAAUCUGGAGACAGGUGCUGCAUGGCUGUCGUCAGCUCGUGUCGUGAGAUGUUGGGUUAAGUCCCGCAACGAGCGCAACCCUUGCCUUUAGUUGCCAGCAGUUCGACUGGGCACUCUAAAGGGACUGCCGGUGUUAAACCGGAGGAAGGUGGGGAUGACGUCAAGUCCUCAUGGCCUUUAUGACCAGGGCUACACACGUACUACAAUGGCCGAUACAAAGGGCAGCGACACUGCGAGGUGAAGCCAAUCCCGUAAAAUCGGUCUCAGUCCGGAUUGGAGUCUGCAACUCGACUCCAUGAAGUUGGAAUCGCUAGUAAUCGUGGAUCAGCCAAGCCGCGGUGAAUACGUUCCCGGGCCUU
This 505-nucleotide ribosomal RNA is filed under the name uncultured Desulfobulbus sp. RNAcentral's name for it is "bacterial SSU rRNA". It matches the Rfam family "Bacterial small subunit ribosomal RNA", at positions 903 to 1382 of the family's 1533-position model. The record is from RNAcentral. Lineage: Bacteria; Pseudomonadati; Thermodesulfobacteriota; Desulfobulbia; Desulfobulbales; Desulfobulbaceae.